Molecule: transfer RNA, 70 nt
Filed under: Tanakia lanceolata
Lineage: Eukaryota; Metazoa; Chordata; Actinopteri; Cypriniformes; Acheilognathidae
Description: tRNA-Arg
Rfam family: tRNA
About the family: Transfer RNA (tRNA) molecules are approximately 80 nucleotides in length. Their secondary structure includes four short double-helical elements and three loops (D, anti-codon, and T loops).
Source: RNAcentral
AGGGAGUUAGUCUAAAUCAAGACCUCUGAUUUCGGCUCAGAAAAUUGUGGUUAGAGUCCACGACCCCCUU